Unclassified non-coding RNA from Chelonoidis abingdonii (Abingdon island giant tortoise), 169 nucleotides. The record is from Ensembl. Lineage: Eukaryota; Metazoa; Chordata; Testudines; Testudinidae.
UUGAUAGCCGUGGAGACUGAAGUCCUCCAUCUAUCCACAAAACAGGCACAACCUGGGCAGGAGCAGUGUAAGUUUUCCCUCCAGUGUACCUCAGCUCUGAUCUGGAAGGACCCACCUCCAAGGGUGAGAGGAUAUUUAAGUCUCCCUGUCUGUUCAGUUCUUGGCUUUU